Molecule: long non-coding RNA, 3731 nt
Organism: Erpetoichthys calabaricus (reedfish)
Lineage: Eukaryota; Metazoa; Chordata; Cladistia; Polypteriformes; Polypteridae
Exons: 4
Source: RefSeq, a predicted model, not a curated record
ACAGAGACGUGAAUGUCAUUCCAACAGAUGGUACGUUACAAAUAUUAACACUGCUUUUACGAGUCCCAUACCAAAUGGUACAGUACAUAAUGGAGACAUAUGCACUUCAUUUGUCAUUCGAACCGAUGGUGCCUCAUACGCAUUUAUAGCAAUGCAUUUUAUCACCACAAAUGUUUGUGAUGUGCUGUCUUUUGGAAAGACAAAUGCAGUUCAUUUUCUUACUACACGCAUUACAGAAUACAUUCCAAUAGAUGGUGCACUGCAAAAUUUACUGCUGAGGACUAUGUUGAUUACUUUGAUUUCAACAUAUUGUGGUCAAGUGAGGUACAACACGAGUUCCAAAAUAAACUUUGGGGUGCAAACCGGGCCACCCUGUAUAAUAAUGGUGCCAGAAAUAGCGUUCAGUGAACCAACAGGGAAAAAAAAAAAAGAUAAAAAUCCUAGGCUCCAUUGCCUUUCUUCUGCCGUCAGGUCUGGAGUAGAGCUCCAUCCUGCACUGAGUCUACGACCAAAUUAGACCUUCCUGGACCACCUCGAAUUAUAGUCCUUCAUUCGGAAAGAGCAAAGUCAGUUCCCUUCAUUGGGCCGUUGGGCAUCUUCUCAUAGCUGUGGGUAGAGAGAGUCAAUACCAUUAAUGACAGCACCCCUUCUCGGCCUCGGAUAAGCCUGGAUAGUGACAUAAUUCCAAAAAUGGUAUUUUUCAGUCUGAGAGAACUCUUAAAACGUUGAGAGCCAUCAAAAUCUUGAAAUCGAAUUUUUGGACGAUUACAAUACUUUCCUUACCAUUCGUAUACGAGAAAGUCCGGGAGGUCUAAAACGUCGAGAUUCAUCAAAAUCUCGACAUCCAAUCUUUGGACGAUUACAAUACUUUCCCUAUACGUAAUAUAUGAGAAAGUCCGGGAGGUCUAAAAUAUCCAGAUUCAUCAAAAUCUCAACAUCGAAUCUUUGGACGAUUACAAUACGUUCCCUAUACUUCAUAUACGCGAAAGUCAGGGAGAUGUAAAACGUCAAGAGUCAUCAAAAUCUUGAAAUAGAAUUUUUGGACAAUUACAAUACUUUCCUUACAAUUCAUAUACGAGAAAGUCCGGGAGGUCUAAAACGUCGAGAUUCAUCAAAAUCUCGACAUCCAAUCUUUGGACGAUUACAAUACUUUCCCUAUACGUAAUAUAUGAGAAAGUCCGGGAGGUCUAAAACGUCGAGAUUCAUCAAAAUCUCGACAUCCAAUCUUUGGACGAUUACAAUACUUUCCCUAUACGUAAUAUAUGAGAAAGUCCGGGAGGUCUAAAAUAUCCAGAUUCAUCAAAAUCUCAACAUCGAAUCUUUGGACGAUUACAAUACGUUCCCUAUACUUCAUAUACGCGAAAGUCAGGGAGAUGUAAAACAUCAAGAGUCAUCAAAAUCUUGAAAUCGAAUUUUUGGACGAUUACAAUACUUUCCUUACAAUUCAUAUACGAGAAAGUCCGGGAGGUCUAAAACGUCGAGAUUCGUCAAAAUCUCGACAUCCAAUCUUUGGACGAUUACAAUACGUUCCCUAUACUUCAUAUACGCGAAAGUCAGGGAGAUGUAAAACGUCAAGAGUCAUCAAAAUCUUGAAAUCGAAUUUUUGGACAAUUACAAUACUUUCCUUACAAUUCAUAUACGAGAAAGUCCGGGAGGUCUAAAACGUCGAGAUUCAUCAAAAUCUCGACAUCCAAUCUUUGGACGAUUACAAUACUUUCCCUAUACGUAAUAUAUGAGAAAGUCCGGGAGGUCUAAAAUAUCCAGAUUCAUCAAAAUCUCAACAUCGAAUCUUUGGACGAUUACAAUACGUUCCCUAUACUUCAUAUACGCGAAAGUCAGGGAGAUGUAAAACGUCAAGAGUCAUCAAAAUCUUGAAAUCGAAUUUUUGGACGAUUACAAUACUUUCCUUACAAUUCAUAUACGAGAAAGUCCGGGAGGUCUAAAACGUCGAGAUUCAUCAAAAUCUCGACAUCCAAUCUUUGGACGAUUACAAUACUUUCCCUAUACGUAAUAUAUGAGAAAGUCCGGGAGGUCUAAAAUAUCCAGAUUCAUCAAAAUCUCAACAUCGAAUCUUUGGACGAUUACAAUACGUUCCCUAUACUUCAUAUACGCGAAAGUCAGGGAGAUGUAAAACGUCAAGAGUCAUCAAAAUCUUGAAAUCGAAUUUUUGGACGAUUACAAUACUUUCCUUACAAUUCAUAUACGAGAAAGUCCGGGAGGUCUAAAACGUCGAGAUUCAUCAAAAUCUCGACAUCCAAUCUUUGGACGAUUACAAUACUUUCCCUAUACGUAAUAUAUGAGAAAGUCCGGGAGGUCUAAAAUAUCCAGAUUCAUCAAAAUCUCAACAUCGAAUCUUUGGACGAUUACAAUACGUUCCCUAUACUUCAUAUACGCGAAAGUCAGGGAGAUGUAAAACGUCAAGAGUCAUCAAAAUCUUGAAAUCGAAUUUUUGGACGAUUACAAUACUUUCCUUACAAUUCGUAUACGAGAAAGUCCGGGAGGUCUAAAACGUCGAGAUUCGUCAAAAUCUCGACAUCCAGUCUUUGGACGAUUACAAUACUUUCCCUAUACUUCAUAUACGCGAAAGUCAGGGAGAUGUAAAAUGUCGAGAUUCAUCAAAAUCUCGACAUUGAAUCUUUGGACGAUUACAAUAUUUUCCCUAUACCUCAUAUACGAGAAAGUCAGUGAGAUCUAAAAGGUCGAGAUUCACCAAAAUCCAAUCUUUGGACUAUUACAAUACUUUCCCUGUGCCUCGUAUGCGAGAAAGUAAAAAGCGUCGCACUGUAUGGAGUUGUUGCCGUCAUCCUCAUGGCACUGUAUGGGCGACGUUACCAUCAUCAUACCUCAUAUAAUCAAGCCUUCAGGAUCUGUACGUGCGCACAUAUAACGUCUGAUGUGCCCAAUGCUCUCGUCACCCUGAAUUGGAUUAAGCAGGUUUGAGAACGCGGUGGAUGAUUAUGACUCAGAUCUAUCUACCCAUCUAAUGACUUGUGUGCUCAAUUAUUUUCCAUGUAAUAGUCGCAUGCAUGGUUUUUUAUUUGUUUUUAUUUUCACGCAUAUUAUUAAAUAUUUCAAAACUUUUUUUUUUUUUUUUAUUAAAAAAAAAUAAAUAUAAAAAAAUCAAACCACUGGCACUGUUCACUUUUCACCACCAGCAUGCUGUACUGGCCAUUUGCUGCUUAUCUUGAAAUAUUAAUACUUGUAUUGAUGUGAAAUAUUAUCUGUGUAACAGUAUCAUGCCAAUCAAACUCGAUGCAUGUUUUAUGAGUGUUAGAGACUAUUUUUAUGAACUUGAAAACGUAGCACAUUUCAUUGUAAAUUUUAUACUUUGAUCCCGUGUGUCGUGAAUGGCUACGGACAUAACGUGUGCUGAUUUCAGCCAAAGCAAUCGUCUGCUGUACGUCGCCGUGUACUCUCAGCUGCCGUCUGCAAUGCUAAAUUAAAACCGGGCUGCGACCUGGAAUGUAAUAAAAAAGUAUAUAUUUAGAGAUACAGCUUUAAAUCAGUCUUUCUUUACAUUAGUGAGGCCAAAAAAACCAAAACAUAUCUAGUUGUGUGAUACUUCAUACUUGUUAGAAGUGCAAUAAGAUCCUGUAUUGUCAAUAUUGUGCUGCAAGCCUUGCUGAUGCUUUUGUGACAUUGGGUUUGUCAUUUGUACAUUCUGUAUAAUGAGAUUUCUUUAUGGCAGUGAUAGUGAUGAAAACGGAAUAAAAAUAAAAUGUACAAACUCA